RNAcentral lists this ribosomal RNA (415 nucleotides) under Klebsiella pneumoniae subsp. pneumoniae. Its description in RNAcentral is "bacterial SSU rRNA". It matches the Rfam family "Bacterial small subunit ribosomal RNA", at positions 1129 to 1533 of the family's 1533-position model. Lineage: Bacteria; Pseudomonadati; Pseudomonadota; Gammaproteobacteria; Enterobacterales; Enterobacteriaceae. The record is from RNAcentral.
UGACGGGAACUCAAAGGAGACUGCCAGUGAUAAACUGGAGGAAGGUGGGGAUGACGUCAAGUCAUCAUGGCCCUUACGACCAGGGCUACACACGUGCUACAAUGGCAUAUACAAAGAGAAGCGACCUCGCGAGAGCAAGCGGACCUCAUAAAGUAUGUCGUAGUCCGGAUUGGAGUCUGCAACUCGACUCCAUGAAGUCGGAAUCGCUAGUAAUCGUAGAUCAGAAUGCUACGGUGAAUACGUUCCCGGGCCUUGUACACACCGCCCGUCACACCAUGGGAGUGGGUUGCAAAAGAAGUAGGUAGCUUAACCUUCGGGAGGGCGCUUACCACUUUGUGAUUCAUGACUGGGGUGAAGUCGUAACAAGGUAACCGUAGGGGAACCUGCGGUUGGAUCACCUCCUUACCUUAAAGAA